This 385-nucleotide ribosomal RNA is filed under the name uncultured bacterium. RNAcentral describes it as "bacterial SSU rRNA". It matches the Rfam family "Bacterial small subunit ribosomal RNA", at positions 28 to 412 of the family's 1533-position model. The record is from RNAcentral.
GACGAACGCUGGCGGCGUGCUUAACACAUGCAAGUCGAGCGGUAAGGCCCUUUCGGGGGUACGACGAGCGGCGAACGGGUGAGUAACACGUGGGUGACCUGCCCUUAGCUCUGGGAUAAGCCUGGGAAACUGGGUCUAAUACCGGAUAUGACUCCAUAACGCAUGUUGUGGGGUGGAAAGCCUUGUGCGGCUAGGGAUGGGCCCGCGGCCUAUCAGCUUGUUGGUGGGGUGAUGACCUACCAAGGCGACGACGGGUAGCCGGCCUGAGAGGGCGACCGGCCACACUGGGACUGAGACACGGCCCAGACUCCUACGGGAGGGCAGCAGUGGGGAAUCUUGCGCAAUGGGCGAAAGCCUGACGCAGCGACGCCGCGUGGGGGAUGAC